AGAACGAACGCUGGCGGCAUGCCUAACACAUGCAAGUCGAACGCGUGACUUCGGUCACGAGUGGCGCACGGGUGAGUAACGCGUGGGAACCUGCCCCGAGGUGGGGGAUAACCGAUGGAAACGUCGGCUAAUACCGCAUACGACCUAAGGGUGAAAGAUUUAUCGCCUUGGGAGGGGCCCGCGUCGGAUUAGCUAGUUGGUGGGGUAACGGCCUACCAAGGCAAUGAUCCGUAGCUGGUCUGAGAGGAUGAUCAGCCACACUGGGACUGAGACACGGCCCAGACUCCUACGGGAGGCAGCAGUGGGGAAUAUUGGACAAUGGGCGCAAGCCUGAUCCAGCAAUGCCGCGUGAGUGAUGAAGGCCUUAGGGUUGUAAAGCUCUUUCGGCGGGGACGAUGAUGACGGUACCCGCAGAAGAAGCCCCGGCUAACUUCGUGCCAGCAGCCGC
This 448-nucleotide ribosomal RNA is filed under the name uncultured bacterium. Its description in RNAcentral is "SSU rRNA". It matches the Rfam family "Bacterial small subunit ribosomal RNA", at positions 26 to 518 of the family's 1533-position model. The record is from RNAcentral.